Molecule: ribosomal RNA, 253 nt
Filed under: uncultured bacterium
Lineage: Bacteria
Description: partial 16S ribosomal RNA
Rfam family: Bacterial small subunit ribosomal RNA
Source: RNAcentral
GACAGAGGGUGCAAACGUUGUUCGGAAUUACUGGGCGUAAAGCGUGUGUAGGCGGUCCACUAAGUCGGGUGUGAAAGCCCUGGGCUCAACCCAGGAAGUGCACUCGAAACUGGCGGGCUAGAGUAUCGGAGAGGUUGGUGGAAUUCUCGGUGUAGAGGUGAAAUUCGUAGAUAUCGAGAGGAACACCGGUGGCGAAGGCGGCUCGCUGGGACGUUACUGACGCUGAGACGCGAAAGCGUGGGGAGCAAACAGG